GAAACUGGGAUUAGAUACCCCACUAUGCCUAGCCAUAAACUUUAAAUUACACCCACAUCGCCAGGGAACUACGAGCAAAGCUUAAAACCCAAAGGACUUGACGGUACCCCAUAUCCACCUAGAGGAGCCUGUCCUACAAUCGAUACCCCCCGCUAAACCUCACCACUUUUAGUCUACUCAGCCUGUAUACCUCCGUCGUCAGCUUACCACGUGAGCGCAACUUAGUGAGCUUAAUGCCCGUGCGCCAAUACGUCAGGUCAAGGUGCAGCAAAUGAAGUGGGAAGAGAUGGGCUACACUCUCUAAUAUAGAAAAAACGGAAGAUUAUCUAUGAAACCUAAUCUAAAGGCGGAUUUAGAAGUAAAAAGAAAAAAGAAUGUCCUUUUUAACCCGGCACUGGGGUGUGUACACACCGCCCGUCACCCUCUUCAUAGCCACCAAAAAGUAAAUAACCUAUUAAUGCAACACAGAAGAGGCAAGUCGUAACAUGGUAAGUAUACCGGAAGGUGUGCUUGGAAACGAAGUGUAGCUUAAC
RNAcentral lists this ribosomal RNA (533 nucleotides) under Vitreorana uranoscopa (Humboldt's glass frog). RNAcentral's name for it is "partial 12S ribosomal RNA". It matches the Rfam family "Bacterial small subunit ribosomal RNA", at positions 768 to 1533 of the family's 1533-position model. Lineage: Eukaryota; Metazoa; Chordata; Amphibia; Anura; Centrolenidae. The record is from RNAcentral.